Molecule: long non-coding RNA, 1704 nt
Organism: Eleginops maclovinus (Patagonian blennie)
Lineage: Eukaryota; Metazoa; Chordata; Actinopteri; Perciformes; Eleginopidae
Exons: 4
Source: RefSeq, a predicted model, not a curated record
GCUCAGUUCUCUCCCUCAGUGGAGGAAGCAACAGAGACGCACCGAUGGACAGCGUGUUCAGAACUGCCUGAGGAUGGACAGGAGUGUCAACACGGAAAAAACACGGAUUGGAUAUCAAUGAGGUGAGGGCCAGAGAGGACUGGCUGCCAGCACACACUUUCCUGAUGAUGAAUCCAUGCAGGGCCUCUAUGACCUUUGGGCGAUACACACGAUUGGUGUCUCCAUGACCUAGUUUACCUGCAAGGGACCACACAGUGCGUCCAUCCUGCGCCACAGCGAUGGUGUGAGAGCUGCCGCAGGCCACCUGUCCAACACCACUGAUGUCCUUCACUAGAGUGGGCACGUUACGACUCUGACUGUCACUGUGACCUGCUCAGGGAACAAACACAAGACAACAGGUUGUUGCUGUAGACCGGAGGAAGGGGUAUCACUGAAACAGUUGAGACAAAUGAGAUCAGACAACUUGAGAAAACGGGGCGUGUACCAAGUCUGCCAAAGUCGCCUUCUCCCCAGUGAUGGCCAAAGUGUGCCCGUCAGAGCCCUUGGAGGAGGACACCUUCUUCAUGUUCCUAUGAGGCUCCAGCACAAGUUUCUUGGGCAUGGACUGGUUAUUGGAGUCCCCGAGGCCCAGGCGGCCAUAGCUGCCUUUCCCACACGCUUUCACUGACCCAUCUGUAGAGACUGAGAAGGUACAGUACUGCCCCGCCUCAAUCUGAAAGGAGGACAUAGUGGAUAGAAUCAAUAAGAUAUAAAUCAGAUAAAUAAUAGUAUGCAUUAUUAUGGAAAAAUACCAGUCCAUAUGUAUUGGUAGCCUCACCAUUUGGGCAUCACUGAAGCCCUGAGUCAGCUUUGGCAGCAGGAUUUUCUCCAGAGUUCCCUCUGCCAGCUGAUGGCUGCUGUUGCUGCCCCACACGUACACCAUCACUGUGUCACUCUCUGAACCAGGAGCAGCUGCAUCAGUGCUGCAGGAGCACAGGCAGUAGGAUGCUAGGUUACAGAUCUGUCAGAAGGGAGGAGGAUGAGGUGCAUAAAGUCAGUUACUGGAAAGUAUAACAGCUCUUAUUAGUGCCUGUGUAAAAACAAAUCCCUCUUACCUCCUCAAACAGGCAGAGAGCAGCCUGGGAGAGUCGACAGAGUCCAUCUGCGUCCUUCUUCAGCACCUGAGUAUUGACGGAGUCCCCGCGGAAACCCUGGAAAAAAGACAUUUAGUUUCUUCAUCAAAGUCUGUUUUUAAUGUAACCUGUGACUCACUGUGUGUGUAUUUGAUGUCGGUUCAGUUUAUCCGUUUUAUUACACUCUAAUUAUCAAUUUGUAUGCACACAUUCUUCCUAAACUGAGACAAAUCAGUGCAAGAUCAGGCAGAUGGUGAAAUCAAGAGAAACAGAGAUGCAGAAAUGGUUAGAUCCUAGUCCUCAGAUGCAGAUCUUAAGUGUGUGUUUAUGUUGUGUAAUACCUCCGGAAGCUUUUACAUUUAUAACAAUUAAGUUUAGGACGAGAAAACUCAAUCAUGACGUUUUUUGCAAUAACCAGACAUUGUUAUUAUUUGUCAAUUUAAAGUGCAAAGCUGAUUACCUUACUAAACAAUGAAUCAAAAAGGCAUAAACUGUAGAGGAAGGGCAGGAAGACCGGCUCAAUCUUAAUCUUAUCUGCACAAUAAUGCAUCACUCAAAGCCUCAAUGAGAAUGUUAAUGAUACCAGCUACAG